AUUGAACGCUGGCGGCAUGCCUUACACAUGCAAGUCGAACGGCAGCACGGGUGCUUGCACCUGGUGGCGAGUGGCGAACGGGUGAGUAAUACAUCGGAACGUACCUUAUCGUGGGGGAUAACGCAGCGAAAGUUGCGCUAAUACCGCAUACGCCCUGAGGGGGAAAGCGGGGGACCGUAAGGCCUCGCGCGAUUAGAGCGGCCGAUGUCUGAUUAGCUUGUUGGUGGGGUAAAAGCCCACCAAGGCAACGAUCAGUAGCGGGUCUGAGAGGACGAUCAGCCACACUUGGACUGAGACACGGCCCGGACUCCUACGGGAGGCAGCGGUGGGGAAUUUUGGACAAUGGGGGCAACCCUGAUCCAGCAAUGCCGCGUGAGUGAAGAAGGCCUUCGGGUUGUAAAGCUCUUUUGUCAGGGAAGAAACACCGGCUCUAACACAGUCCGGGAAUGACGGUACCUGAAGAAUAAGCACCGGCUAACUACGUGCCAGCAGCCGCCGUAA
RNAcentral lists this ribosomal RNA (501 nucleotides) under uncultured bacterium. RNAcentral describes it as "partial 16S ribosomal RNA". It matches the Rfam family "Bacterial small subunit ribosomal RNA", at positions 29 to 523 of the family's 1533-position model. The record is from RNAcentral.